RNAcentral lists this small nuclear RNA (164 nucleotides) under Echinops telfairi (small Madagascar hedgehog). RNAcentral describes it as "U1 spliceosomal RNA (ENSETEG00000021466.1)". It matches the Rfam family "U1 spliceosomal RNA". From Rfam's summary of the family: U1 is a small nuclear RNA (snRNA) component of the spliceosome (involved in pre-mRNA splicing). Its 5' end forms complementary base pairs with the 5' splice junction, thus defining the 5' donor site of an intron. The record is from RNAcentral. Lineage: Eukaryota; Metazoa; Chordata; Mammalia; Afrosoricida; Tenrecidae.
AUACUUACCUGGCCGGGGAGAUACCAGGAUCACGAAGGUGGUUUUCCCAGGGCGAGGCUUAUCCAUUGCACUCCGGAUGUGCUGACCCCUGCGAUUUCCCCAAACGUGGGAAACUCGACUGCACAAUUUGUGGUAGUGGGCGACUGCGUUCGUGCGCUCCCCUG